This is a non-coding RNA of Trametes gibbosa, 91 nucleotides long. The record is from the annotation of a GenBank genome assembly. Lineage: Eukaryota; Fungi; Basidiomycota; Agaricomycetes; Polyporales; Polyporaceae.
GGGUCGGUGGCGUAGUUGGUUAUCGCAUCUGUCUAACACCGGAAAAGCGCAUGUACACAGAAGGUCCUCAGUUCGAUCCUGGGCCGACUCA